AGAGUUUGAUCCUGGCUCAGGAUGAACGCUAGCUACAGGCUUAACACAUGCAAGUCGAGGGGAAACGAUAUUGGAAGCUUGCUUCCGAUAGGCGUCGACCGGCGCACGGGUGAGUAACGCGUAUCCAACCUGCCCACCACUUGGGGAUAACCUUGCGAAAGUAAGACUAAUACCCAAUGAUAUCUCUAGAAGACAUCUGAAAGGGAUUAAAGAUUUAUCGGUGAUGGAUGGGGAUGCGUCUGAUUAGCUUGUUGGCGGGGUAACGGCCCACCAAGGCGACGAUCAGUAGGGGUUCUGAGAGGAAGGUCCCCCACAUUGGAACUGAGACACGGUCCAAACUCCUACGGGAGGCAGCAGUGAGGAAUAUUGGUCAAUGGACGAGAGUCUGAACCAGCCAAGUAGCGUGCAGGAUGACGGCCCUAUGGGUUGUAAACUGCUUUUAUAAGGGAAUAAAGUGAGCCUCGUGAGGCUUUUUGCAUGUACCUUAUGAAUAAGGACCGGCUAAUUCCGUGCCAGCAGCCGCGGUAAUACGGAAGGUCCGGGCGUUAUCCGGAUUUAUUGGGUUUAAAGGGAGCGUAGGCCGGAGAUUAAGCGUGUUGUGAAAUGUAGAUGCUCAACAUCUGCACUGCAGCGCGAACUGGUUUCCUUGAGUACGCACAAAGUGGGCGGAAUUCGUGGUGUAGCGGUGAAAUGCUUAGAUAUCACGAAGAACUCCGAUUGCGAAGGCAGCUCACUGGAGCGCAACUGACGCUGAAGCUUGAAAGUGCGGGUAUCGAACAGGAUUAGAUACCCUGGUAGUCCGCACGGUAAACGAUGGACGCCCGCUGUUGGUCUGAAUAGGUCAGCGGCC
Molecule: ribosomal RNA, 850 nt
Filed under: uncultured bacterium
Lineage: Bacteria
Description: bacterial SSU rRNA
Rfam family: Bacterial small subunit ribosomal RNA
Source: RNAcentral